This 1220-nucleotide ribosomal RNA is filed under the name metagenome. RNAcentral describes it as "bacterial SSU rRNA". It matches the Rfam family "Bacterial small subunit ribosomal RNA", at positions 20 to 1193 of the family's 1533-position model. The record is from RNAcentral.
UGGCUCAGAACGAACGCUGGCGGCAUGGCUAAGACAUGCAAGUCGUACGGACCCUUUUUGCUUGCAUUGAGGGUCAGUGGCGAAAGGGUGUGUAAUGCAUAGGUAACGUACCCUGAACUCGGGGAUAACAGCGGGAGCAAUCCCUUUAGCGAAAGUGCUGCUAAUACCCGACGAAAUCGUCUGUUCGCAUGUUCGGACGAUCGAAGGCGGGGAUCUUCGGACCUGCCGGUUUGGGAGCGGCCUAUGUCCUAUCAGCUUGUUGGUGAGGUAACGGCUCACCAAGGCGGCGACGGGUAGCGGGACUGAGAGGUUGACCCGCCACAUCGGGACUGAGACACUGCCCGGACACCUACGGGUGGCUGCAGUAACGAAUAUUGGGCAAUGGGCGCAAGCCUGACCCAGCAAUGCCGCGUGCAGGAGGAAGCCUUUCGGGGUGUAAACUGCUGUCAGGAGUCAGCAAGCAAUGGGUGUGAAUAGCGCCCGGCGUUGAGCAGCUCCAGAGGAAGCCUCGACUAACUCUGUGCCAGCAGUCGCGGUAAGACAGAGGAGGCAAGCGUUGUUCGGAAUCACUGGGCUUAAAGAGGGUGUAGGCGGCUUGGAAAGUGUCGCGUGAAAUCCAACGGCUCAACCGUUGAAUGGCGCGGCAAACUACCUGGCUUGUGGUCGGUAGAGGUGCCUGGAACUCUUGGUGGAGCGGUGAAAUGCGUAGAUAUCAAGAGGAACGCCGGAGGCGAAAGCGGGGCACUGGGCCGAUUCUGACGCUGAGACCCGAAAGCGUGGGGAGCAAACAGGAUUAGAUACCCUGGUAGUCCACGCCGUAAACGAUGCACACUAGACGUCGGAAUCUCUGACGGUGUCGGCGUCGCAGCAAAAGUACUAAGUGUGCCGCCUGGGGAGUACGGCCGCAAGGCUAAAACUCAAAGGAAUUGACGGGGGCUCACACAAGCGGUGGAGCAUGUGGCUUAAUUCGAAUCAACGCGAAGAACCUUACCCGGGUUUGACAUGCUUGGAUGCCUCCUGGGGAGAACUCAGGUCGGCUGCCCUUCGGGGUGAAACUUGCACAGGUGUUGCACGGCUGUCGUCAGCUCGUGCUGUGAAGUGUCGGGUUAAGUCCCUUAACGAGCGAAACCCCUAUCGCUAGUUGCCAGCGGGUCAUGCCGGGGACUCUAGCGAGACUGCCGGCGUUAAGCCGGAGGAAGGUGGGGACGACGUCAAGUCAU